CAGUAGCCACGGUAAUACGUAGGGUGCGAGCGUUAAUCGGAAUUACUGGGCGUAAAGCGAGCGCAGACGGUUACUUAAGCAGGAUGUGAAAUCCCCGGGCUCAACCUGGGAACUGCGUUCUGAACUGGGUGACUAGAGUGUGUCAGAGGGAGGUAGAAUUCCACGUGUAGCAGUGAAAUGCGUAGAGAUGUGGAGGAAUACCGAUGGCGAAGGCAGCCUCCUGGGAUAACACUGACGUUCAUGCUCGAAAGCGUGGGGAGCAAACAGGAUUAGAUACCCCCGUAGUCCCUGUCUCUUAUAC
Molecule: ribosomal RNA, 301 nt
Filed under: uncultured bacterium
Lineage: Bacteria
Description: partial 16S ribosomal RNA
Rfam family: Bacterial small subunit ribosomal RNA
Source: RNAcentral